RNAcentral lists this long non-coding RNA (514 nucleotides) under Bos taurus (domestic cattle). RNAcentral describes it as "long non-coding RNA NONBTAT008194". The record is from RNAcentral. Lineage: Eukaryota; Metazoa; Chordata; Mammalia; Artiodactyla; Bovidae.
UCUGUAUGAGAAGUUCUCAAUUUAGAAAUUAAAAGUAUUUUAAAAUUGGUAAUAUAUUUGGCAGAUUGGUACUAUACCCGAGUAAAUCAGUUUAUCACUUGCAGAAGAUGGAGGCAGUGAAAUACCUCAGAGCAAAUUAUUCCCUGUGAAUUACAUCCUCAGCUCCAGCCUCCAAUCCCAGCCAGCUUCUGAGUUCCUUUAUAGAUCUUUUAUAUUGCCUUUUGGUUUUAUCCACCACAAGUCUACUGCUCUUCUUGCGGCGGCAGCAUCACACAGCUUUGUACUUAAAUUUUACUAAGGGGUGCUGCCUUCAUUGGAGGGCCUUGCUUGUCCUGCCAACAGCUGACGGUUUUGUCAUGUUGACCCUGGGAUAUUGUCUCUUUCUGGAAAGAGAAGUCUGAACAGUGUGUUUUCAAAAAGCACAGAUGAUAAAACACUUUUCCUUGUAUGAUUCAUUGACAACAAGGUAUUAACUAUUGGUCAAAGGAUUUACUGUGGAGGAGAAAGGGAGGUU